UAUUAAUUUCAAUCGAAUUAACCUUCUAUUCGAAAAGCAGCAUCUUUUCAUAACUUGCAGACUCAGAUGAAGCUAUCUGAAGAAUACUUUCCAUCAGAACUCUCUUAUUCUUAAAGACAUUACCCUUCACCUUCAUUAAAUGAUAAGAGAGUUAAACUCUCUUGUUUUUGNNNNNNNNNNNNNNNNNNNNNNNNNNNNNNNNAAGACAUUUAAAACCUGGCACUAUUUAAAGCCAUUUAACAAACUUUUUAGUAAUGAAUGUCUUUGGAAUUAGAGAUGAAAACAUGUUUUAGCUCAAGCUAAAAUAUGGGAUAACAGCCACAUACUCUCUCUCUUGAACUACUCAUCUUCUUCUUUCACUAUAGAAACACAAACAUAACAACCAAACCAUACCAAACUCAUAAAAUCUAGUCCAAAUCCCUUACUCCCUCUUAAUAGAAAAUGACUCUUUUAUAAAAGAAGGAACCAUGAAAUUAUCCUUCACUAGAGCUACAAUCAGCAACACUUCUUUUCAUUUAUUUAUCCAUCUCUCACGAGCUCUCUCAACAUCCACAAUGACUCAUUUCUUAUUUAGCUCUCAAAAUGAUGGAGGAUCCUUUGGAUGCAUGCCUCCCCCACGAAAUUUCACUUAUAUGGUAGAAAGAAGGAGUUAUUGUUUUGUAAAAUGGAAUGAAGCAUGGAGAUUGGAGGAUUUGGAAAUAAUGGGUUGUAUAUUGGAAUGAAAGCAAAGACUUAUGAGUAGAAAGCUUGUCAAAAUAAGAAGAGUAUUCCGNNNNNNNNNNNNNNNNNNNNNNNNNNNNNNNNNNUGGAUUUGGUAGCCAUAAUUUGUAAGAAGGUUUUUUUUUAUGAUAAUUGUAAGAAGUUAUAUAGUGAUAAUUUGAUAUAUUGAUAAUUAAAAUGAUUUAAUUAAAGGAGAUGAUAAAAAAGAUUUUUAAUAGAGAUUGUAAACUUUUCUUAUAGAGUGCCACAUCAUCAAAAUACUUGAUUGUAAAAAAUAUAUUUUGUGGUUAUAUUGGUCCCUUUUAAUUCAUUUAGGAACCAAUUAACUUGCAAUGAAGAGAGAUAGACGUUUUUUUUUUUUAUUAAAUUCAGCUCUUUAAAGGAUUGAUCAAAGAGGUUUGGAAUAUCAAAGUGACUCACUUGCUUGAAAUAUAAUGAUUCCUUUUUUUAUUAGUAUUAUUAUUAUUAUUAUUGAAUGAAAGAUUUCCAAUAGUCAUGAAUAUUUUGUGGUUAUAUAAAUCUUAUAUAUUAGUUGGUCCAUUUAAAUUUAAUAAUUUUUCAUUUUAGUUAGUUGGAUAUAGGAACCAAUUAACUAUGCAUUGAAGAGAAUUCCAAUAGUCUUAGACACACUUUUUUUUUCUUAGUAUUGAAAGAAUAUAUUUUGUGGUUAUAUUGGUCCCUUUUAAUUCAUUUAGGAACCAAUUAACUUGCAAUGAAGAGAGA
RNAcentral lists this long non-coding RNA (1443 nucleotides) under Trifolium pratense (red clover). Its description in RNAcentral is "long non-coding RNA (TPRA_LNC013525)". Lineage: Eukaryota; Viridiplantae; Streptophyta; Magnoliopsida; Fabales; Fabaceae. The record is from RNAcentral.